This 465-nucleotide ribosomal RNA is filed under the name uncultured bacterium. RNAcentral's name for it is "partial 16S ribosomal RNA". It matches the Rfam family "Bacterial small subunit ribosomal RNA", at positions 338 to 795 of the family's 1533-position model. The record is from RNAcentral.
CCUACGGGCGGCAGCAGUGGGGAAUAUUGCGCAAUGGGCGAAAGCCUGACGCAGCGACGCCGCGUGAGGGAUGAAGGUCUUCGGAUCGUAAACCUCUGUCAGCAGGGAAGAACGGUCACUGUGCUAAUCAGCAGUGAAUUGACGGUACCUGCAAAGGAAGCACCGGCUAACUCCGUGCCAGCAGCCGCGGGAAUACGGAGGGUGCGAGCGUUAAUCGGAAUUACUGGGCGUAAAGCGCUCGUAAGCGGUAUGUCAAGUCAAGGGUGAAAUCCCCGCGCUCAACGUGGGAACUGCCUUUGAAACUGGCAGACUGGAGUGUGUGAGAGGAUAGUGGAAUUCCAGGUGUAGGAGUGAAAUCCGUAGAUAUCUGGAGGAACAUCAGUGGCGAAGGCGACUAUCUGGCACAUAACUGACGCUGAGGAGCGAAAGCGUGGGUAGCAAACAGGAUUAGAUACCCUUGUAGUC